This 465-nucleotide ribosomal RNA is filed under the name uncultured bacterium. RNAcentral describes it as "partial 16S ribosomal RNA". It matches the Rfam family "Bacterial small subunit ribosomal RNA", at positions 28 to 507 of the family's 1533-position model. The record is from RNAcentral.
GACGAACGCUGGCGGCGUGCUUAACACAUGCAAGUCGAACGGAAAGGCCCUGCUUGCCGGGUACUCGAGUGGCGAACGGGUGAGUAACACGUGGGUGAUCUGCCCUGCACUUCGGGAUAAGCCUGGGAAACUGGGUCUAAUACCGGAUAGGAGCCAUUUUUAGUGUGAUGGUUGGAAAGUUUUUUCGGUGUAGGAUGAGCUCGCGGCCUAUCAGCUUGUUGGUGGGGUAAUGGCCUACCAAGGCGGCGACGGGUAGCCGGCCUGAGAGGGUGGACGGCCACAUUGGGACUGAGAGACGGCCCAGACUCCUACGGGAGGCAGCAGGGGGGAAUAUUGCACAAUGGGCGCAAGCCUGAUGCAGCGACGCCGCGUGGGGGAGGACGGCCUUCGGGUUGUAAACUCCUUUCGCUAGGGACGAAGCUUUUUGUGACGGUACCUAGAUAAGAAGCACCGGCUAACUACGUG